Molecule: ribosomal RNA, 253 nt
Filed under: uncultured bacterium
Lineage: Bacteria
Description: partial 16S ribosomal RNA
Rfam family: Bacterial small subunit ribosomal RNA
Source: RNAcentral
UACGGAGGGUGCAAGCGUUAAUCGGAAUACUGGGCGUAAAGCGUGCGCAGGCGGUUUUGUAAGUCUGUCGUGAAAUCCCCGGGCUCAACCUGGGAAUGGCGAUGGAGACUGCAAGGCUAGAGUUUGGCAGAGGGGGGUAGAAUUCCACGUGUAGCAGUGGAAAUGCGUAGAUAUGUGGAGGAACACCGAUGGCGAAGGCAGCCCCCUGGGUCAAAACUGACGCUCAUGCACGAAAGCGUGGGGAGCAAACAGG